GAUGAAGAACGUAGCGAAUUGCGAUAUGUAAUGUGAAUUGCAGAAUUCAGUGAAUCAUCGAAUCUUUGAACGCACCUUGCGCUCCUUGGUAUUCCGAGGAGCAUGCCUGUUUGAGUGUCAUGAAAUUCUCAACCUUUUCAGCUUUCUUUGUUGAUCAGGCUUGGAUGUGGGAGUAUGCGGGCUUCUCAGAAGUCGGCUCUCCUGAAAUGCAUUAGCGGGACCUUUGUUGCCUGGCUUUGGUGUGAUAAUUAUCUACGCCAUUGUAGUCAAGCAGCUUAAAAUGAGGUUUCAGCUUCUAACCGUCUCCCCUGAGACAACUUUUUGACAAUUUGACCUCAAAUCAGGUAGGACUACCCGCUGAACUUAAGCAUAUCAAUAAGCGGAGGA
RNAcentral lists this unclassified non-coding RNA (387 nucleotides) under soil metagenome. RNAcentral's name for it is "partial contains 5.8S ribosomal RNA, internal transcribed spacer 2, and large subunit ribosomal RNA". The stretch from base 1 to 120 matches the Rfam family "5.8S ribosomal RNA", at positions 35 to 154 of the family's 154-position model. The record is from RNAcentral.